Non-coding RNA from Cinara cedri, 341 nucleotides. NCBI's taxonomy places the organism in Eukaryota, Metazoa, Arthropoda, Insecta, Hemiptera, Aphididae. The record is from the annotation of a GenBank genome assembly.
CCUUCCACCAACCGGCAGCGCAAUUGGCAGUAUAAUAAUUUAAUAAUAAAUGUGAUACGACCACUACCAUGUGAUAAUAAUUAUUGUAUUUAAAAAUAUAGUUCUGUGUUAAUAAUAUUUUGAUAUUCUCAUCAACACUAGAAAACAACCAUAUGAUGAUGUUUGUUGGAUGAGGUUAAGAAGUUUACCUAGAUUUGCAUAGGAGUCGAUUUUUGAUAUAUUUUUUUCAACGUCCAAUAUUUAAUUCUUAACAUGGUGAUAUUUUACAUUUUUGCAUUGUAAUUAUUCGGCUUAGAAAUUAAAAUUUGCUUCUAUACUAAAGCAGACUAACUUGUCUUCUU